GGGGUGGAAACUUCAUUAGAGAGUAUGUCUUGGCAUACUGGAGUGUCCAAAUGCACGUUCGAUACAGAGGAAGUCAGAUGACUUAUAACUCCAAUAGCAUUGUCAACUGCUGCUGAGGUUUCAACUUCAGACAGUAGAAACUUAACAGCCUUGUUAGGACUUUGUUUCUUGUCAUCUAUUGAAUGUUCAGCAGAAAUCAUAGGUGUAUCUAUCUUCUUCUCGAUUAAUG
RNAcentral lists this unclassified non-coding RNA (229 nucleotides) under Hevea brasiliensis (rubber tree). Lineage: Eukaryota; Viridiplantae; Streptophyta; Magnoliopsida; Malpighiales; Euphorbiaceae. The record is from RNAcentral.